RNAcentral lists this ribosomal RNA (497 nucleotides) under uncultured bacterium. RNAcentral describes it as "partial 16S ribosomal RNA". It matches the Rfam family "Bacterial small subunit ribosomal RNA", at positions 28 to 507 of the family's 1533-position model. The record is from RNAcentral.
GAUGAACGCUGGCGGCGUGCCUAAUACAUGCAAGUCGAGCGAACAGAUGAGGAGCUUGCUCCUCUGACGUUAGCGGCGGACGGGUGAGUAACACGUGGAUAACCUACCUAUAAGACUGGGAUAACUUCGGGAAACCGGAGCUAAUACCGGAUAAUAUAUUGAACCGCAUGGUUCAAUAGUGAAAGACGGUUUUGCUGUCACUUAUAGAUGUAUCCGCGCCGCAUUAGCUAGUUGGUAAGGUAACGGCUUACCAAGGCAACGAUGCGUAGCCGACCUGAGAGGGUGAUCGGCCACACUGGAACUGAGACACGGUCCAGACUCCUCAGGGAGGCAGCAGUAGGGAAUCUUCCGCAAUGGGCGAAAGCCUGACGGAGCAACGCCGCGUGAGUGAUGAAGGUCUUCGGAUCGUAAAACUCUGUUAUUAGGGAAGAACAAAUGUGUAAGUAACUAUGCACGUCUUGACGGUACCUAAUCAGAAAGCCACGGCUAACUACGUG